AAGCCCUACAGGAAAAGCUCAAAGAAAUAAUAUCACGUGGAAACCUCUCCCUAUCGGUGGGCUUAGGCUGUUACAUGUAGUCAUGUAUGACAGGCGUGUUGCUGCAAUGCUUGAGGAUGAUUCAAUUUCUGAUGAAUUUAUCUGGAGAGAAAUCUAUGAUGGAAAGAAAUAUUUAUAUCCUAGGUUAUUAUUCAUCAUUACUGAUAACUGCUUUUCACCUACUGAGGUACUACUUUCGCUUGGACAUAUCUAAAUUAGAAACCUUCCACUGUUUAUAAAGGUAAAGAGCCCGUCAAGUAUGAAGAUAAGAUCAGUAAAUUACACCUUAGCGUGUGCCAUUUCGUACAAUGUGGCUGUCUGCAGAUCACUUCUCGGUAGUUUGUACAACGGUUUCCCCCCUUCUUAUUUUAUCUUGCUGACAAAGAUUAAUAACUAUAUGCACUUAUAUCAUAUUUUCUCAGGAGCAGCAGAUCUAGGCGUUUGUUUGCAUAUUUCUUCAUCAGGCUUGGAUCUUCCAAUGAAGGUAUGCAUUAGACGUCUUACCCAUUAAGGGAUGCUAUUUAAUUGAGAAUCAAAGGAUCCUAUUUAAUCAUCAACAUUUGCUUCCAUGAAAUGCUAUAUUUCCAUCUUUGAAAUUUAUAAAAGCUACGUUCACAUAUUGUAUUGUAUUUGAUGGAAUGGCAAUUCCGAUUAUAUGCGCAUCCACGAGAAAAGAGAGAAGAACGUAAAGCUUAUAUUAUAACGUCAAUGUGAUUACUUAGGAUCUUAAAAACAUUAACAUUUUAAAGACUGAUAAUAAUAAACUGAACAACCAACAAAAAUGCUUAAUAUUCAGAACAUUGACCCACAAAACAUAUUCCAAUAACAAAAGUACCUGAGUAGUCCAUACAAACACGCAAAACGAAAAAUAAAAACAGUCGAAAAAGAAAAAAAAAAAAA
Molecule: long non-coding RNA, 939 nt
Organism: Cucurbita moschata (crookneck pumpkin)
Lineage: Eukaryota; Viridiplantae; Streptophyta; Magnoliopsida; Cucurbitales; Cucurbitaceae
Exons: 2
Source: RefSeq, a predicted model, not a curated record